This 253-nucleotide ribosomal RNA is filed under the name uncultured bacterium. RNAcentral's name for it is "partial 16S ribosomal RNA". It matches the Rfam family "Bacterial small subunit ribosomal RNA", at positions 524 to 776 of the family's 1533-position model. The record is from RNAcentral.
UACGGAAGGGGCGAGCGUUGUUCGGAAUCAUUGGGCGUAAAGGGCGCGUAGGUGGUUUUGUAUGUCUGCCGUGAAAGGGUACAGCUUAACUGUAGCUUGUCGGUAGAAACUGCAGGACUUGAGGCUGGGAGGGGCUGGUGGAAUUCCCUGUGUAGCGGUGAAAUGCGUAGAGAUGGGGGAGAACACUCGUGGCGAAGGCGGCCAGCUAGACCAGUUCUGACACUGAGGCGCGACAGCGUGGGGAGCAAACAGG